RNAcentral lists this ribosomal RNA (448 nucleotides) under uncultured bacterium. Its description in RNAcentral is "bacterial SSU rRNA". It matches the Rfam family "Bacterial small subunit ribosomal RNA", at positions 329 to 793 of the family's 1533-position model. The record is from RNAcentral.
UUCCAGACUCCUACGGGAGGCAGCAGUGGGGAAUAUUGCACAAUGGGGGAAACCCUGGUGCAGCAACGCCGCGUGAGUGAGGAAGUAUUUCGGUAUGUAAAGCUCUAUCAGCAGGGAAUAGAAAAGAAGGUACCUGAAAAAGAAGCCCCGGCUAACUACGUGCCAGCAGCCGCGGUAAUACGUAGGGGGCAAGCGUUAUCCGGAAUUACUGGGUGUAAAGGGAGCGCAGACGGCAGUGCAAGUCUGGAGUGAAAGCCCGUGGCUUAACCACGGGACUGCUCUGGAAACUGUGCAGCUAGAGUGCAGGAGAGGCAGGCGGAAUUCCUAGUGUAGCGGUGAAAUGCGUAGAUAUUAGGAGGAACACCGGUGGCGAAGGCGGCCUGCUGGACUGUAACUGACGUUGAGGCUCGAAAGCGUGGGGAGCAAACAGGAUUAGAUACCCCGGUAA